Molecule: RNA transcript, 5435 nt
Organism: Dicentrarchus labrax (European seabass)
Lineage: Eukaryota; Metazoa; Chordata; Actinopteri; Moronidae
Gene: cacnb3b
Gene name: calcium channel, voltage-dependent, beta 3b
Exons: 14
Source: RefSeq, a predicted model, not a curated record
UAGGCUCAUGCAUCACCUUCCUGUCAGGAGGAUGGUGCAAGGCGGGCAGACAGGCAGGCGGGCAUAGCCCUGCCCUCCUCUAUUCCUCUCCCUCUUUUCAUUUCUCCAUUCAUGUGUUUCCCCUCUCUCUGUCCUUCGCUAACUUUACACCCUUUGUUUUUCUUUUAGUCAUUAUUGCUGUUGAAGCAGUCACCUGUUAGGCAAAGGGAGCUACUAAUUGCCAGUGGAAUGACAAUUACAGACUGGUUAUUGUUAUUAUCAUUUAGCAUGGCUUACAUAACUGCUCAGUCUUUGUUCUGUCUUACUGUAAGCUCUAUCUGCGCUCAGUGAAAAAUUAUACUCUGCAGUGUGAGAGUUAACAUCAGCCUGGUUGAUUUUAUAUUACUUUCUCAGGAUUUCUUAAAGCAGGAAUUGACAUGACAGGAAUGCAUGGAAAAAAACUUGAUAUGAUGGUGAUGCUGGAGAGGGAUACAUGAGAUCUGUUUGCGUGGUGGGGCGACUCAGAGGAGAGGAGAGGAGAGGAGAGGAGAGACGGUGCAUGAAACCAGAGGAAAGAUCCUUUUCUUACAUGAGGGCUGGCUCGGAGCUGAAGAAACCCACUGUACUGUACCAGUAUGCGGGCGUGUACACACCAGUGCUGCAGUCAGGGCAUCAAUUUUGAAUAGGAAAUGGCUGUUGAGGCAGCGCAGCAACGUCAGCUGUGAAGCACUUAGGCUGAGCGCGCCACCCUCUCUCUCCCCCCUGUAACCACGGGCUGAGGGGAGGAGGGUUCUGCCUUUUUCUGUGCAAUGGGGGAGAAGAGAGCGCUGGCAGCACAAUCAUGUCUGCCUCCGACUCGAGCGCUACAGGACUCAUCUGUAACAAGGGUUCAGCCGAUUCCUACACUAGUCGACCCUCGGAUUCCGACCUGUCCCUGGGGGAGGACCAGGAGGCGUCUCGGCGUGAAGCCGAGCGCCAGGUUCAACUGCAGCUAGAGAGAGCCAAGUCGAAACCAGUAGCAUUUGCAGUAAAAACCAAUGUGAGUUACUGUGGGGCCCUUGAUGAAGAUUGCCCAGUCCAAGGUGCCGCUAUUAACUUUGAAACCAAAGACUUUCUGCACAUAAAAGAGAAAUACAACAAUGAUUGGUGGAUCGGUCGGCUGGUGAAGGAAGGGGCAGACAUCACUUUCAUCCCGAGUCCAGUUAAACUGGAGGCCAUGAGGAUAAAACAAGAGCAGAAAGCAGCAGCAAGGAAAGGAGGGAACGCUUCUGCAGCCAAACAGAAGCAGAAACAGACCGAACAUGUUCCUCCGUAUGAUGUGGUCCCUUCUAUGCGGCCAGUGGUGCUGGUGGGCCCCUCACUGAAAGGCUACGAGGUAACAGACAUGAUGCAGAAAGCCUUGUUUGACUUCCUAAAGCACAGAUUUGACGGCAGGAUCUCUAUUACACGGGUGACUGCUGAUCUGUCACUGGCGAAGCGCUCGGUGCUGAACAAGAAGGCCAUAAUGGAGAGAUCCAACACACGCUCCAGUCUGGCUGAGGUCCAGAGUGAGAUAGAGAGGAUCUUUGAGCUGGCCAAGUCUCUUCAGCUGGUUGUCCUGGAUGCAGACACCAUCAACCACCCAGCACAGCUCCUCAAAACUUCUCUGGCUCCCAUCAUCGUCUACGUCAAAGUGUCCUCGCCUAAAGUUCUUCAGAGGCUGAUCAAAUCUCGAGGGAAGUCGCAAAGCAAACACCUCAACGUCCAGAUGAUGGCAGGAGACAAGCUAGCUCAGUGUCCACCUGUAUGUCUGCCUGAAACUCAGAAGAGAUGUUUGAUGUCAUCCUGGAUGAAAAUCAGCUGGAAGACGCGUGUGAACACCUUGCGGAGUACCUGGAAAUUUACUGGCGUGCUACGCAUCUCCCCUGUUCUGCCCCUGUUAACCCCUUAUUGGACCAAAGCGUGAUCACCCCACCCUCAGCUAACUCCAGCCAACAAUUUUCUGAGACUCAAGAGUUGAUAGAAUGAUUACUACCGCAGACAUAGGUGCAGCCUGUGCUGUCAGCUGGGGUCAGACUGGAGGUCAUAGAGCACAGGGACCAGGGCGCCACCAGGGGGCAGCAGCAGCCCUCAUCUCUCCAAAGCCAGCCACCACCUUCUCUGGCCACACCUGGGGCGAAGAAGAGAACAAAGAGCAGAAGCCCUAUGAGAGAAAGAGCAGGAGGCUGGUGAGCUGGAGGAAGAGGAGAAGCAAAAACAGGGAGAGGAGCAGGAAGAAGAGGAAGAUCUGACCAGAGGAGCGUCCACCUCACUGCUGCCCCCUCGGCAAGAGCUCCCUGCUCCCACCGCCACGCGACAACUCAGGGCCGCUUUCUACAGCUGCACACCUACUGGUAACAAAAACCAGUAAAGCAGUGCAGUCACUGCACACCACCCUCCCUCCCUCCCACCCUGACCUUGUUCCCGACUCCCUGCUUUCACACUGGAGGUCACAUCCCCCACCUGGUGAAGCUGAACUAGCCCAUGUGUGAUCAGAUACCCAGAAGUGGCUGUCCCAGACACAGAUAGGCUAAUUCAGCUCUCAUUAUAGACAAACUGCACACCUGUGAGGUCAGAGUAUGUUAGCAUACAGUACUGUAGCAUAGCAACGCAAUCAGUAUAACACAAAAUAUGAACAUGAAUAGCUUCCCAUUGUAGGGUUCCCAGGGUUUUCUUCUGAUAAACCUGGCUUCCCCCUCUGGCCAAAGAGUGCAGAGAGUGACAGUAAACAAGUUCUGUAUGUCUUCCAUCUCCACAGCUCUCGAUGAGCUGUCAUUCCAGUUUAGCCAAAUGUUUCCUCAAAGGCACAGUUGUUCCUUUAUCACUUGCUUUCUCUCCUUGUUUAUCUAGUAGCCUUUUUUAAAUUAUCCUUUCCCAUUUAUUUUUUUACACAAACUAUCUAUACUAUUAUGUAUAAUUCAUAUAUUGGCCCUCAGUAUAGCUGAUCACAUACCUGUACGCAACAGUGAUGCAAAACAAGCAUGACAAGCACAGGCUUGCACAGUCUAUAUGCAUCUUUUGUCACAGCUGUGAAUGUAUAAAUGCUGGUCGGUUAGCUUAGGAAGGAUUAUUUACAACAACUGUGGUUUGUUUGCAGAUGGUCGGUGGCCAAUCCCAAAACUAAAAUGAAAAUGCAAUUGAAUAUUAACCAAAAACUGUGGUUGUUGAUCUCACUUAUAGUUCUCUGAGAGAAAAAGGCUCUUCCAACAAAUGACAGACAAAUGCAAUACAAAUCACUAACUCACAUUUGAAAUUUUCUUCAAAUGUGAAUCUAAAUAAUGACAUUUAAUAAUUUCAACUAAUGAUACUGGAUGUCUGAUGUCACAGUAGUAUGCAUUUUUUUAUCCCAAAGAAAUUUUAAUUCUUCUUUCUGACACAAUUUGAUCCACCCAGAAACAUGUAGCAUAACCAGAUAUCAGACAUUUAACAAGUGUAGGUUACAGAUGCAUUGUUCCCGUCUCAGGCUGAUAACUGAAGCUUGGACUGGAACAAUGACUCUGUCCUUUUACUCUUAUAACCAGAUGUUGUACAUUAUGAUGAAUAAAUGAUCAUUUAUAUUGGCUGUUUCUUUGUGCAAAAGAAAAAAACAAAAGGGUAAAUUGGUGAGAGACAAACACAAGAUGAGUUGAUCUAUACAUAAAAAACACCUUGUUGAUUACAUGUUCUGUAUGAUUUCCAAAGAGAAUAGUUGUAUAGAUUAUAUACACAAUUAACUGUUUACUGAGCAUGUGUGCUGAAUGUAAUUCCUGGUGAUAUUAGCACUAAACUCUCCACAAACUACACAAACAGGAUCAUAUCUGCAUUUUAUUUUACCAUAUUGGUGGUAUCAUUUAAAUGUCACACUUCACUGCUCCUCAGUGGCAUAAUGGUAACUGAAGUAGUGGGUGGCCUAUAUCUUUUGAUGAUUGGUUGAGUUUAGACAUCAGUGGAGUCUCAGAAUUGAGGUUGCUCAGUGAAUAAGAAGUAGCAAUGCUGCAUAUGUUUGCACCCACCCUCCACUACAUCACUGUGCUACAACACUGAUCAGCCCUGAUCUCCCAAAUCAACAGAUUGCAAAGGGUUACUUCCUAGUAAACCCACUCAUUUUUCUUCAUUAUCUUUUAGCAUAAACAGCUAAAUAAGCACGUGUACUGCAUGCUUAUAAGUACAUGGAGGGUGACCUCUGGUGGCAUAUUUAUGUCACUCUCAUACCCACCACAGCUUAUUUCUCUGCCCAUUGCAAACAAACUGGAAGAUAUACAUUACAUAUAUAUAUAUAGAACUUCCAGUCAUAAGACUAGUUAAAUGUCUUUGAUGCAAAUACCAAAAGCUUCAUCCAAACUUUGCAUAGCCACCAGUAGUCUCUUUUGUUGAAUUAAUCAUCUAUUGCCUCCAUUACAUGUCUUACAGUAUUCACAAAAAUGAAUGCAUCUCAGUAAGCACUGCAAUUCUUACAUCAAUGCAUCUGCUUUUACCAUAUACAACUAUAGAAUUCAGCUUACAUAUCACACAUGUAAAUAACCUAAUGUAUGUGCAUGACAUAUUGUAUUGCUGUUUCAUCAGAAGGGCUUUUUGGGACCAUCCUCACAUGAGCCAUUCACUCUUCAGAAUAAAUCAACAUGACCUACAUAACCAGUCACCCGUAUACAUCAAGGCUUAAUUGUACAUACUGUAUAUUCGAUAUGCAGAUACUAUAAUUAUUACUAUUAUUACUAUUAUCAAAUUGCACAGAACCAACAAAUGCUGACAGAAAGUAGAGUACACAGUACACAAUUCUAUAUUAAACGCCUCAGAAAGCAUGUGUUUAUAUGUAUUUUCCUCUCUUUUUAGAAUGAUGCACUGCAGUUAUUUAGGACCACCGUCUAUCACUAAAGUUUGCUGUCACUGACUCCCACAUUAAUUUCUGAAGGACCAGGUUUGAGAUACAUGACUUCUACUUGAUGAAACACAGAGAGCACAGUAGCUUCUUUCGAUAAAAAAACAAAACAAAAUAUACAUAUAUUUAUCAGCUCCUUCUAUUUGCUUAAUUUUAUUGCAGGAAAUUUCUACAAAAAGUUAAUUAUUCUUUGGACCUACAAAGCACAAUUUUUUACUAUUAUCAUUUCCUAUUGCGUUUCACUUGCCUAAAUUCUGUAUGCAAUACAAAGUCUAGCAUUGACGAGACACUAGCUGAGACUAUCAAGAUAUCUCCUCAGUUAUGAUGGGGUAUAAUUGCACUACUAUCAUUUAUAUGUCUGCUUUACGAUGCAAUAAAUGCACUAAACGUUCUGCUGUACCCACCUCCAAUACUGAAUAAGUUGUCUGGUCUAAUGAUGAUGUCAACAUUUCACGUGGUUUCUGACAAGUCGAUAAGAUAAAUGAUAUCCAACAGUGUCUGAUGAGGAUGUGUACAGGGUGCAUCUUUUGUCUAUAGCACAUUUGAAAGAGGGGGUGAAUAAAACACAACAACAUUUAAGUAA